This 862-nucleotide ribosomal RNA is filed under the name uncultured bacterium. RNAcentral's name for it is "bacterial SSU rRNA". It matches the Rfam family "Bacterial small subunit ribosomal RNA", at positions 86 to 950 of the family's 1533-position model. The record is from RNAcentral.
CUGAUGAGAGUGGCGCACGGGUGAGUAACGCGUAUGCAACCUGCCUAUAACUGGAGAAUAGCCCCCGGAAACGGGGAUUAAUGUUCCAUAAUGUUCAGAGAUCGCAUGGUUUUUGGACUAAAGCUCCGGCGGUUAUAGAUGGGCAUGCGUGCCAUUAGCUAGUUGGUGAGGUAACGGCUCACCAAGGCUACGAUGGUUAGGGGGUCUUAAAGGAUGAUCCCCCACACUGGUACUGAGACACGGACCAGACUCCUACGGGAGGCAGCAGUGAGGAAUAUUGGUCAAUGGGCGCAAGCCUGAACCAGCCAAGCCGCGUGAAGGAUGACGGCCCUAUGGGUUGUAAACUUCUUUUGUAUGGGAAGAACUCCCCGACGUGUCGGGGGCUGACUGUACUAUACGAAUAAGCAUCGGCUAACUCCGUGCCAGCAGCCGCGGUAAUACGGAGGAUGCAAGCGUUAUCCGGAUUCAUUAGGUAUAAAGGGUGCGUAGGCGGAUUAAUAAGUCAGUGGUGAAAUACUACAGCUCAACUGUAGAACUGCCAUUGAUACUGUUAGUCUUGAGUACAAUUGAGGUAGGCGGAAUGUGUGGUGUAGCGGUGAAAUGCUUAGAUAUCACACAGAACACCGAUUGCGAAGGCAGCUUACUAAACUGUAACUGACGCUGAUGCACGAAAGCAUGGGGAGCAAACAGGAUUAGAUACCCUGGUAGUCCAUGCUGUAAACGAUGAUCACUCGCUGUAUGUCCAUUAGGAUAUGUGGCUGAGCUAACGCAUUAAGUGACCCACCUGGGGAGUACGGCGGCAACGCUGAAACUCAAAGGAAUCGACGGGGGCCCGCACAAGCGGAGGAACAUGUGGUUUAAU